GACAGAGGGGGCAAGCGUUGCUCGGAAUUACUGGGCGUAAAGGGCGCGUAGGCGGGAUGGUAAGUCGGUCGUGAAAUCCCUCGGCUCAACCGAGGAACGUCGAUCGAUACUGCUGUUCUUGAGGAUUGCAGAGGAGACUGGAAUUCCCGGUGUAGCGGUGAAAUGUGUAGAGAUCGGGAGGAACACCGGUGGCGAAGGCGGGUCUCUGGGCAAUUCCUGACGCUGAGGCGCGAAAGCGUGGGGAGCAAACGGG
This 253-nucleotide ribosomal RNA is filed under the name uncultured bacterium. Its description in RNAcentral is "partial 16S ribosomal RNA". It matches the Rfam family "Bacterial small subunit ribosomal RNA", at positions 524 to 776 of the family's 1533-position model. The record is from RNAcentral.